Molecule: long non-coding RNA, 3710 nt
Organism: Sapajus apella (tufted capuchin)
Lineage: Eukaryota; Metazoa; Chordata; Mammalia; Primates; Cebidae
Exons: 2
Source: RefSeq, a predicted model, not a curated record
AGUGGGGGCAGCCAGCUGCCAUGUAACAAGUCCAACUAGCCUGAGCCCAUUGUGCUAGAGAGGUUGCAGUUGGGCACUCCAGUAGACAGUCCCAACUGAGCCCAGCUUUCCAGCCAUCCCUGCCAAGGCACCAGACAUAUGAAUAACCCCACCUGUGACUCUCUAGACCAGGCCAUCUGCCAGCUGAACACCACAGAGUGACCUCACUGAUGCCUUUGGAGCAAGAAGAGGAGGGUAAAAGAAUUACUCGGUCAAGCCUGAUGGAAUUCUUGAUGUAUAUAACCUAUAAAAUAUAGUAAAAAAGGUUUUAGAGAAUUAAGUGCAUGCCCAUAUACAGGCUUGGGCCCUGGGGACCUGUGGUCGGCAGUCAGCCCCACCUUCUGUUUGCAGGUGUUAUAAGUCAUGGUAUAGCUCAAUAGAAAAUCCAUGUUUAGUUCAGUGUGCAAACAGGAACUGAUUCUAUUUGAAAAGGGGAAUUAAAACACCCCACAUGGGUACCACAGUGCAAAGGAGAAGGUUAAUAGUGGAAAAAGAUGAUGCCAAAGCACAUGGUCCCAGAAUGCUCAGCCCAGAGAGACAAAGAGUUGUAUCUUUCACAGCCAUUUUCAUAAUAAAUUAGAUAGCAUAUUCCCAGUAUACUGAAGUAAAGUUUUUCUGUCCAAAAUCCCUUCUGGACAUAGAAAGGCACAUGAGUCUCAUUUUUGUGCUGGAGUUCUGAAAGUUAGAGCUGGGCAUGGAGAGGGCAUGGGUGUGUCAGUGUGUAUGGAAUAUUGUAUUGCCAAAGAUAGCUUCAGCAAUAUCUCCUCUCUCACUUGCCACUUUUCCAUCAAGAGGGGAGUCUGUUCUCUCUCCCUUUGAAUCUGUGCCGAACUUGUGAUUCUUUUGAGCAAUGAAACAUGGUGAAAUGUAUGUUCUGGGACUUUGAGAAGCCUGGCGGCUUCUGCUAUUGCUCUCUGGAGGAAGUCAGCUUCCAUGGAAGAAGUCCAACUCUCUUAGAAUGGCCAUGCCACGAGAAGCCCAACCUUGCCAUAUGGAGAGACCUCGGGGAGGGGAACUCAAGCCCCCAGCUGACAGCCCUGGCUGGAUCACAGCCGCCAGCCAACACCAACUUGCCAACAACCAGGGGCCUCUGGAGACUGUAAUUCUGAAAGGCAAAGGAAUAUAACUUCAAGUAGAGGAAGACAGCAUGACUCAAGUAACUCCACAUUUGACUUAUCUGAAGACUUAUGUUGCCCGUUAGCUAAAGGUGUGGAUAAACUCUGGAAAUGGAAGGAGAAUUGUAUCUCAUUAGUGAUGUUUGAGAAAAGCAGAAGUUCUCAAGGCAUCCAGAAAGGUACCUGUGGAAAUUCUACCUCUGUCUGUGAAAAUUGGCACCAAUAUUUCCUACUGGGCUCUUCAGCUGUCAUGAAUUGUUUCCUCUUGGAUUUUAAAAAAUAUACAUUGGGAGCUUUACUCUUCUUUGCCCUCCAGAGUAGGUAAAAUCCCUAAUAGCUUGAAGCCCAAGAUUUGUGGACAUAUGUUUUAUGAGGGCAGGGGCCGUGCCUGUCUUCCCAGCUGCCUCCUGAGGACCGCGGACAAAGCCUGAGACAGAGAAGGAUACAAUAGCGACUGAUAAUCACUUAUUUUACUAAGCGUUUACAGUGUGAAAGGGCUUGUUCAAAGUACCUUAAAUGUACUCCAAGCAUCUAAUACAUCCUUACAACAUGCUGGUGAGGUAGGUAAAUUUUUUAUCCCUAUUUUAUAGAUUUAAAAAGCUGGGACACAGGGAGAUUAAGUCACUUACUCAAGUUUGCACAAAUGGCAAAUUGUGAAGCCAGCCGUGAACUCAGACUGCCUGUGUCCAUAUUCUGAUGCUUUGGUAGCUGCUGUAUAAAUGGAAGGUAGCUAGAGGAAGGGAGGCAGGGAGGCAAGCGUCAGUCACUUCGAGUAUUUUUCUUCCCCCUUGGCAAGAGGAUGCUGCAGAGGUCAAUAAUUCCCUCUGAAUUCAGGUGGGGUCCCUUUGAAAAUGAGCGACAGAUAAUUUUGUGUUUCUCUAUCACAGUAAUAGGAAUUUGACUCCCGGCACCCCCAUUUCAACCCCUUACACUGGAUGAGUUAUCUGUGGUCAGCCUUGCAUUUUUUUUUUAGCUUUCCUUUGGAGCUAUAUCAGGUAACAAGCUGGUCGGUGAAGCAGUUUCCCUAAGAGGCUGCGCCCUUUCCUGAACACUAGAGGGCAGUAUUUCAACAGGCCUGAGGAUUUUGAACGCAUCAUUAAGUAUGCUUUCAUUACUUUCAGAAAAAAAAAAAAAGCCUGUUGGACUGAUUGUUUCAGUUCAAGAAUUUGAGAGUCCAGGGUAGGAUUCAUUUUAAUGACUCCAGGGAACCGAUCAAAUUAAACACAUUAUCCAGGAUUUUCUUCCCUGGCCUCCUCUCACCCGCCUUCUCAGCGCUUCUGUCUGCGCUGCGUGAGUCGCAGCCCUGGGCCCCGAAUCGUCUCCCUUGCACAGAAGCAGCCCUUGCCGAAGAACCCAGGGCCAGAAAAGGCCUCAGCAGCUUGUCUUGGCACAGAUCCUCCAAGAUCACCUUCCAGCAAGACAAACUUAAGAACCGUUGAAGGCUGUGUGCCUAGCCAGCAUGCCUGCAGCUGGACAGGAUGGCCCUUGGCAGGGAAAAACCAACCCAGUCCUGGCGGCUGCCACAUCCCUGAAGACCUAGAGCUCCACCCUCAGCUGGGAGCUUUACGUAUGUGAUCUCUAAUCUUCUCAAAAACCUUGCAAGAAAAAUAGUUAUACCAUUUUGCAGACAAAGAAACAAAUACAGAGAGGUUAAAAAAAUGUGCCCAAGGUCACAAAGCUAAUAAGUACAGAACUGGAACUCACAUCACAAUGUCCCGCCCCAGAGCCUAGGAUACACAUGCCGAUAGUCACUGCCUCUCCCGCUCUUAUCCCUUAAAUUCCCACUAUAGUUGGCCAGAAUAUGAAGUAGACACACUGCAUGAUUUCCCUUGAAGGGAGGAUGGACAGAGACACAGGCCUCUACUUUGGACCUCGUGAGUGUAAACUUCAAAGUUUUAUUCAUCCUCCAUCCCCUGCAGGUCCUGGAAUAAACUGACAUUUAAUGGUUGCUCAGUGCUGUAAAGAUGAACUUCAUUUAAUUUAAUACUAUUCUGUAUCUCCUUGGGUUAUUUGACAGAUUUACUGAUCAUUGUGAAGAAGUUUGUUUCUGCUUCACUUUUAUAUAGGAGCUGUUUCUUCUCAGCUUCUUGUUAAAACACCCUUAGAAACCUGUAAGUAAAUGUUGUAAUUGCAUUCUUAGCUUUAUUCACACUGAUAAGAGAUAUAAGUGAUUUUUAAAAGGCAGAACUAACUAGUCAAUCAAAACAAGCAGCUGUAAUCUGAUUUUAGAGCAAUCUGCAUGAUAAGAGUUGGCCAAGGAGAAAUAAUUUCCUAUCACAGUGGGAUAACGUGCAAAUACAAUAUAAACUCCAGGCUCCCUCACAUCACAGAAUGUCUGAGAAAUGCCAAGCAGAAUGUGUUUAUGAAUGGGAAAGCCAAUGGUGUUAUAUUUUCUCUCAGGUUAUUCUCAAUCUCAUUUUCAGAAGGGACAAAAUAGCUCUAAACAUUUCUAAAUAUUUUACUCCAUAUGGUCCAAAUCUCAAGCUUAAAAAUAUCUACCAACUGUCCACAGAAAAGGUGUUUUAAAGAAAAAUAAAGAAUCAAUUUAAUUGGAAA